RNAcentral lists this ribosomal RNA (216 nucleotides) under Glomeromycotina sp. RNAcentral describes it as "partial small subunit ribosomal RNA". The stretch from base 40 to 216 matches the Rfam family "Eukaryotic small subunit ribosomal RNA", at positions 686 to 864 of the family's 1831-position model. Lineage: Eukaryota; Fungi; Glomeromycota. The record is from RNAcentral.
GGGUCAGUAGGUUGGUCGUGCCACCGGUACGUACUGGUCUCACUGAUUCCUCCUUCCUGAAGAACCGUAAUGCCAUUAAUUUGGUGUUGCGGGGAAACAGGACUGUUACUUUGAAAAAAUUAGAGUGUUUAAAGCAAGCUAACGCUUGAGUACGUUAGCAUGGAAUAAUGAAAUAGGACGAUCGAUCCUAUUUUGUUGGUUUCUAGGAUUGACGUA